GCUUACAGCCACACCUCCUGAGCACGCCCCGAUCGCCUCUGAUCUCGGAAGCUAAGCAGGGUCGGGCCCGGUUAGUACUUUGGAUUGGGAGACCGCCUGGGAAUACCAGGUGCUGUAAGCC
Molecule: ribosomal RNA, 121 nt
Filed under: Esox lucius (northern pike)
Lineage: Eukaryota; Metazoa; Chordata; Actinopteri; Esociformes; Esocidae
Source: RNAcentral